Long non-coding RNA from Silurus meridionalis, 764 nucleotides. RefSeq lists it as uncharacterized. NCBI's taxonomy places the organism in Eukaryota, Metazoa, Chordata, Actinopteri, Siluriformes, Siluridae. The record is from RefSeq and is a predicted model, not a curated record. The transcript is spliced from 4 exons.
AGCUACUGUAUCCACAUCUGUACGGUAGUGACGAGAUUUCCUACUCGCUGCACAGCCUCGUAACAUCUACAACCUACAUCGAAAUGGUCAUUGAAAAUAAGAGUAAACAUCAAGGUUUUGAUUUGACCCACAUUUUAGUCUUUGUGGUCAGGGCAUGAUGGGCUACCAUGAGCCUCCAGCCUGAUACCCUUGUGUGCUAGAACAUCCAAUCCAGAUCUGCUCCUCUGAGAAUGGAAAUAGUCGGGAUGAAAGGAUGAAAGGUGUGUGUGGGUGCAGAGUCUCCUUUCCGCAGUGACCCGCUGCUCUGCCUUGCUUGGCUUCCUGUCUGCUGCCUAGCAACAUGCCGUAUCUAUGGAAACAAAGCCAACAAACCAUCCUACUUUCAUCAUCUAAACCCUCACAAACAAUGUCUAUAAGUACAGCAAUCAACAGCGCAGAUGGAAUUUAAUAAGAGGCCGUGCUGAACAAAGGAGUCACAUGUUAAUAAUUACUCAUUAAUUUUCAAUUGCUUGUAAUUUGUGUUGAUUCACUCUAACAUCUUACCAAUGAUGAAACUCCUAGAGGCAUCGCGACCAGAUGGGAGCACGUGGUUACUCGGCGACGUGCGCGCGCUCUGAAUGGCCACGUGGUGGAGCAAAAGUCAAACAAUUGGGCACAAAGCGAGGCGGCAGCACUGAUUGACUAUAACCAUCUACUUUGAUUUAUGAAUUGGCACUUUGUGCACGAAUACAUUUUUUUCUUCACGAUUUAUGAACACGUAAUUC